UCGUAACAAGGUUUCCGUAGGUGAACCUGCGGAAGGAUCAUUAGUGAACGCCCUCACGGGCUUAUAACUAUUCCAAACCUCUGUGAACCGUGCCCUUCGGGGCUAUUUUACAAACAUGGUGUAAUGAACGUCAUAUAUCAUAACAAAACAAAACUUUCAACAACGGAUCUCUUGGCUCUCGCAUCGAUGAAGAACGCAGCGAAAUGCGAUAAGUAAUGUGAAUUGCAGAAUUCAGUGAAUCAUCGAAUCUUUGAACGCACCUUGCGCCCUCUGGUAUUCCGGAGGGCAUGCCUGUUUGAGUGUCAUGUAGACUCAAUCCCUCGGGUUUCCGAGGAGAUUGGACUUGGGUGUUGCCGCUCUGCCGGCUCGCCUUAAAAGACUUAGCGGGAUAGCACCGUAGUCGGCGUAAUAAGUUUCGUCGGUGAAGGUUGUGAUGACUGCUUACAAUCGCCCUCGGGCAAUUUUUGACUCUGACCUCAAAUCAGGUAGGACUACCCGCUGAACUUAAGCAUAUCAAUAAGCGGAGGAAAAGGAACUAACAAGGAUUCCCCUAGUAGCGGCGAGCGAAGCGGGAAGAGCUCAAAUUUGAAAGCUGGCGUCCUUCGGGCGUCCGCAUUGUAAUCUAUAGAGGCGUUUUCUGUGCUGGACCGUGACAGCUCCUG
RNAcentral lists this ribosomal RNA (662 nucleotides) under uncultured fungus. Its description in RNAcentral is "eukaryotic LSU rRNA". The stretch from base 152 to 305 matches the Rfam family "5.8S ribosomal RNA". Lineage: Eukaryota; Fungi. The record is from RNAcentral.